GCCCUUUUGUGGCUCAUAAACUAGUGACCCGGUUGUCAGGCUGGUGUGAGAUGUGCCUCCCUCCACCCGCCUUACAACUUGGACACCUUACCCUUCUGAUG
This is a small nucleolar RNA of Otolemur garnettii (small-eared galago), 101 nucleotides long. The record is from Ensembl. Lineage: Eukaryota; Metazoa; Chordata; Mammalia; Primates; Galagidae.